Molecule: transfer RNA, 74 nt
Filed under: Candidatus Heimdallarchaeota archaeon
Lineage: Archaea; Promethearchaeati; Candidatus Heimdallarchaeota
Description: tRNA-Lys
Rfam family: tRNA
About the family: Transfer RNA (tRNA) molecules are approximately 80 nucleotides in length.
Source: RNAcentral
GGGCGCAUAGCUCAGCCAGGUAGAGCGACAGGCUUUUAACCUGUUGGUCGGGGGUUCAAAUCCCUCUGUGCCCG